GAUGAACGCUGGCGGCGUGCCUAAUACAUGCAAGUCGAGCGAACAGACGAGGAGCUUGCUCCUUUGACGUUAGCGGCGGACGGGUGAGUAACACGUAGGUAACCUACCUAUAAGACUGGGAUAACUUCGGGAAACCGGAGCUAAGACCGGAUAAUAUUUCGAACCGCAUGGUUCGAUAGUGAAAGAUGGCUUUGCUAUCACUUAUAGAUGGACCUGCGCCGUAUUAGCUAGUUGGUAAGGUAACGGCUUACCAAGGCAACGAUACGUAGCCGACCUGAGAGGGUGAUCGGCCACACUGGAACUGAGACACGGUCCAGACUCCUACGGGAGGCAGCAGUAGGGAAUCUUCCGCAAUGGGCGAAAGCCUGACGGAGCAACGCCGCGUGAGUGAUGAAGGUCUUCGGAUCGUAAAACUCUGUUAUUAGGGAAGAACAAACGUGUAAGUAACUGUGCACGUCUUGACGGUACCUAAUCAGAAAGCCACGGCUAACUACGUG
RNAcentral lists this ribosomal RNA (497 nucleotides) under uncultured bacterium. Its description in RNAcentral is "partial 16S ribosomal RNA". It matches the Rfam family "Bacterial small subunit ribosomal RNA", at positions 28 to 507 of the family's 1533-position model. The record is from RNAcentral.